Molecule: long non-coding RNA, 607 nt
Organism: Cryptomeria japonica (Japanese cedar)
Lineage: Eukaryota; Viridiplantae; Streptophyta; Pinopsida; Cupressales; Cupressaceae
Exons: 3
Source: RefSeq, a predicted model, not a curated record
UGGCUUAAAAAUGUUAAAACUUUUUUCAGACUAGUCAUACAUAUAACAUUGUUUGCAUUUUGCAGGGGCAAAUAGAUACUUCAUCUUGUGUAUGAAUGAUUUGUUGGCACUUGGAGGAGGUGGCAACUUUGCAUUAUGCAUGGAUGGAGACUUGUUGAAUGGAACAAGUGGACCUUGUGACACAUUUGGCAAUUCAUGCUUGGCACAUACUCCAGAGUUCUCUCUUAAGAAUGUUGAGCUAUGGGGAUUCACACAUUUAUCAAGAUAUUUACCAUAGGCUGUGUUGAAAAGAUGCGCAGAAGAGUUUGUGUGCAAAAAGUAUACUUAUUUUUCUUGUUUCUGUCACAGUCAAUAGCCAUUUAUUCAUAUAAGGAGGACUUGUAUUGGCCAUUAUGUUUAGCUUCCUUACAUUAAUAUCUACCUUAGAUUUUUUUUUCUGUUUGUUGUCUAUUUCCCUUCCAUUGAAUUUGUAUAUGAUUAGGAAAUGAAGUGAUAAAAUAUAUGUUUCUUUUUUUGAUGGUCCAUUAGAUUAAUAUCAUCAGUAUUGUAACAUUUAGUUUAUCAUUUUAUUUAUUUGUAUUUUAAUUGCCAACUUCAAGGCAUUAUA